UUGCAGAGUGGAUCUCAAGAAAGGGAGAUCUGGGAAUGGUGAUGGGGCCACCACAGGCAGUUGGUGGGCCAGACAGAAGGUCUGGCUAGACUUGCCUGGAGAGGGGGCUAAUUGAAGAAGAGUUAGUAGAACUCUGAGGAGGGAACUUGAAGAUGCUGAAGAGAGCUCAGAGAAAGUGAGGGACUCCCAAAUCCAUCCUACUAACCCAGCAGCAAGGGUUGGUGGUGGGAAGUGACACUGGGCACAGACAGAUCAUGGCACAAUAUUUUUAGGUGUAAGACUCAGAAGUUCCGAGUUCAAUUCUUGACUCAGCCAUGGACUUUGUGGGUGACACUGGAAACCUGCUUCGUUCAGUAAAUUGGAUGGACAAUGAAUGAGUCAGAGGAUUUCAAAAAGAGAUCUGAUGUCUUCUUGUGUUCAAAGCACUGGACUAGGACCCAGCAAAGCUGUCUCUCUUCCUGACUUUGCUACAGACUUCCUACGUGAUGUUGGAUAAGUGGUGAGCUGGAGCCGGUUCCCACAGGUUCUCAAGACCUGACAUGAAGUUCUGAGACUGUUGAGUUAAAACCCUGGCUUAUCCCGAAAAGGUUGAACUCCAAGUAACUAGUCUGGAGGGCCAUGUCACAAGGCAAUGGGGACCACUAGCAGACCCGGAUGGCCAGUCAGCAGGACUACUGAGAGAGACACUGCAAUGCCAUACCUAGCCACAAGAGAAGAAAUAAUUCUGCCCCUCAGAGGACAUCAUAGCUCUGAAAAUAGGAGCAUCACUCCAUUAAUUUCUGAACCAACUUGAACUCACCAGUUUCUGUAGUAAUAAACAUGA
Long non-coding RNA from Mauremys reevesii (Reeves's turtle), 823 nucleotides. RefSeq lists it as uncharacterized. The transcript has 5 exons. NCBI's taxonomy places the organism in Eukaryota, Metazoa, Chordata, Testudines, Geoemydidae. The record is from RefSeq and is a predicted model, not a curated record.